This 305-nucleotide ribosomal RNA is filed under the name uncultured bacterium. Its description in RNAcentral is "partial 16S ribosomal RNA". It matches the Rfam family "Bacterial small subunit ribosomal RNA", at positions 508 to 809 of the family's 1533-position model. The record is from RNAcentral.
ACAGCAGUAGCCGCGGUAAUACGAAGGGGGCUAGCGUUGCUCGGAAUGACUGGGCGUAAAGGGCGCGUAGGCGGUUUUGACAGUCAGAUGUGAAAUUCCUGGGCUUAACCUGGGGGCUGCAUUUGAGACGUCAAGACUAGAGUGUGAGAGAGGGUUGUGGAAUUCCCAGUGUAGAGGUGAAAUUCGUAGAUAUUGGGAGGAACACCGGUGGCGAAGGCGGCAACCUGGCUCAUUACUGACGCUGAGGCGAGAAAGCGUGGGGAGCAAACAGGAUUAGAUACCCGGGUAGUCCCUGUCUCUUAUAA